CGAGGGUGCAAGCGUUAAUCGGAAUUACUGGGCGUAAAGCGAGUGUAGGCGGCUAUUUAAGUCGGAUGUGAAAGCCCCGGGCUCAACCUGGGAAUUGCAUUCGAAACUGAAUAGCUAGAGUUUGGUAGAGGUAAGUGGAAUUCCGGGUGUAGCGGUGAAAUGCGUAGAUAUCCGGAGGAACAUCAGUGGCGAAGGCGGCUUACUGGACCAAAACUGACGCUGAGGCUCGAAAGCGUGGGGAGCAGACAGGAUUAGAUACCCGAGUAGUCC
This 270-nucleotide ribosomal RNA is filed under the name uncultured archaeon. RNAcentral's name for it is "partial 16S ribosomal RNA". It matches the Rfam family "Bacterial small subunit ribosomal RNA", at positions 527 to 796 of the family's 1533-position model. The record is from RNAcentral.